Molecule: long non-coding RNA, 831 nt
Organism: Drosophila willistoni
Lineage: Eukaryota; Metazoa; Arthropoda; Insecta; Diptera; Drosophilidae
Exons: 3
Source: RefSeq, a predicted model, not a curated record
GAAAAAAUGUCAACUCAUUUGGAAAUCAUUUGUCAAAAUAUAAAUCGAUACUUGUUUCGAAGAAUGAGUGGAAGGAAUACACAAAUCGAACAAUCGAAAAAACAAAAAAUUACAUAAUCAUGCCCAAAAUACACACCAGUCAAGAACAAAAGGAAAUGUUCCGCCUUGCCACCUUAUCGAUAUUCAAAAAUCGUAUUCCAAAAAGGAGAUAGAUUGAGGAGGAGAGGCGAAGGAAACACAACUUUAAACAAGUCAAAAUUAAAAUAUGAUAAACGCAAUCUUUUCUCACAUGGCUGAGCAGGGGAGGGACCGGGGAGGGGAAGAGCCCAAGACCCGCUGUCAAACAGCACAAAAAAGUGACGUGAGCCAAGCGCUCCCCAAAAGAUGCUGCUGGAGAGCAGCCUGCCGAUGACGAAGAUGAUGAUGCACACACACACACUGGCACACUCGCACACCCAGGCAAUAGUCGAGACAGAGUCCCACACCCAGACAGAAGAUGAUACCCAAAAAAGUGUUGGGUUUUAUUGGCCAACGGCCAUUUGAUGCCCCCAAAUAACAGCAAUGGAUAUGGAUGACACUGACCCACAAAACGGGCGGGCGGGUUGUCGUCUGGUUGGUCAGCAUAAAGCAAAAGCCAAGAGUAAGAACCAAGCCCAUAUUUAAUGGACAAGGGUACAUAUGUAUGGAUGGGUUAAAGAUUGGCCAUCAUAAAGUUUACCUAAUAAAAAGGACAAGAAAUUCUCUGGAAAUAUACUAAAAUAGCUUGACGACUAAAUAUACUAAAUAGAAAUAACUGAGAUUUGAAAAAUAAUGUAAGAAAAGUAACUUUAA